Molecule: ribosomal RNA, 460 nt
Filed under: uncultured bacterium
Lineage: Bacteria
Description: partial 16S ribosomal RNA
Rfam family: Bacterial small subunit ribosomal RNA
Source: RNAcentral
CCUACGGGUGACAGCAGUGAGGAAUAUUGGUCAAUGGCCGGAAGGCUGAACCAGCCAUGCCGCGUGAAGGUCAGUGCCCUAUGGGCGUUAAACUUCUUUUGUGCGGGAGCAAUAAUGGUCACGUGUGGCCAGACGAGAGUACCGUACGAAUAAGCAUCGGCUAACUCCGUGCCAGCAGCCGCGGUAAUACGGGGGAUGCAAGCGUUAUCCGGAUUUAUUGGGUUUAAAGGGUGCGUAGGCUGUGAGGUAAGUCAGCGGUGAAAUGCCCCCGGUCAACGGGGUGAAGUGCCAUUGAUACUGGCUGGCUGGAAUGCGGAUGCCGUGGGAGGAAUGUGUGGUGUAGCGGUGAAAUGCAUAGAUAUCACACAGAACACCGAUUGCGAAGGCAUCUCACGAAUCCGCGAUUGACGCUGAUGCACGAAAGCGUGGGUAUCAAACAGGAUUAGAUACCCGGGUAGUC